GAUGAACGCUGGCGGCGUGCCUAAUACAUGCAAGUCGAGCGAACAGACGAGGAGCUUGCUCCUCUGACGUUAGCGGCGGACGGGUGAGUAACACGUGGAUAACCUACCUAUAAGACUGGGAUAACUUCGGGAAACCGGAGCUAAUACCGGAUAAUAUAUUGAACCGCAUGGUUCAAUAGUGAAAGACGGUUUUGCUGUCACUUAUAGAUGGAUCCGCGCCGCAUUAGCUAGUUGGUAAGGUAACGGCUUACCAAGGCAACGAUGCGUAGCCGACCUGAGAGGGUGAUCCGCCAAACUUGAACUGAGAACCGGUCCAGACUCCUAAGGGAGGCAGCAGUAGGGAAUCUUCCGCAAUGGGCGAAAGCCUGACGGAGCAACGCCGCGUGAGUGAUGAAGGUCUUCGGAUCGUAAAACUCUGUUAUUAGGGAAGAACAAAUGUGUAAGUAACUAUGCACGUCUUGACGGUACCUAAUCAGAAAGCCACGGCUAACUACGUG
Molecule: ribosomal RNA, 497 nt
Filed under: uncultured bacterium
Lineage: Bacteria
Description: partial 16S ribosomal RNA
Rfam family: Bacterial small subunit ribosomal RNA
Source: RNAcentral